Gavialis gangeticus (Gharial) is the source of this 1569-nucleotide long non-coding RNA. RefSeq lists it as uncharacterized. The transcript is spliced from 2 exons. The record is from RefSeq and is a predicted model, not a curated record. NCBI's taxonomy places the organism in Eukaryota, Metazoa, Chordata, Crocodylia, Gavialidae.
CUGGCACUGUUUCUGUUCCACCUCACUCUUGUACUCCUACAUGGUCUAGGAAACGGUAAUAGGUUUCCUUGACCUCUGCAGGAAAGACUGCAUGCUUAUCUGUGGAAUUUGCAAAGGACAUGGAAGUUAGGAAGUACAGUAAGAUGAAGGCAAAAACAAAGGCAUAACAACUUAGCAAAAGACAAAAGGAGCACAACCACCAAUCUGGAACUUCCUCCAAGAUAUGCUUGUAUUAUGAAUGCACCAACUACACACCCACCUUGGACCCCAGUGCCUUCCUGCCAACAACUGUGGAUAUACACUCCAACCUAAAAUGUCGACUGAGAAAGAAUCAGUGAGGAUGGGGACUCAGAUAAUGCCAGAAAUGAGAACCAAGUGUUCUCCAAGACCCAUCUGGACACCCUGAAAGGGAUGCAGGUAGUUAACUGGUGCAUUAAUGCUGGCCAUUUGUUUACAUUUUCCACUGUCCUUGAAACAUCACCUUCUCCUCUGCCAAAAUAAUGGCUAACUUUGAAAGGGAACAAAGGAAUUCUGUUUUGAACUAAUCAAUUUAUUAAGAGUAUAGCAUGGCAUCACUAGGCAACAGUCUGAAUACAGGAGAACAGGAAUUUUGUAAAAGAGAAAUAAAAUAUAAGCAAAGCAGUUAUUUUAAUUUAUAGUGAAGUUAGCAAGUGAGCAUUUUCUACACACUUUUAUAGAACAGGCUUACUCCAAAUCAGUAAAAUGCAGUGUCAUAAAAUAUUAUAGUAACAAAAUGGAAAGCACUUGCAAUGAUUCUGAACUACAGUGAAACAGAUGAGUGAGCAUUUUCAAUACUUAAAGUUACAAAGCUUACUUGUUUUGAACCAACCAAACAAAGCAAAUGCAGUAUCACAGGAAAAAUAGAACGAACACAAUAUAAUACAACAGGGUAAAAAAAAUCUGGACAUAUUUUAAACUGUUGUUACUUGCAUUAAGGUUCAGGAAAGAGAGAUAGAAACUGUGUGUUAAAAUUAUGACAUACAUUAAUUGGUGGGCACAGCUUGCAGAGAAGGUGAUUGAUCUUAGCAGACUGCAAAGCUGUGCAUGCUGGCAACAUUUCACAGAAUUUUUCCAACAGGUUGUAUUUAAUCUUUUUCCAGGCAUUUCUCCGAGCUGCCUUGUUUAUUCUGUCAUAGUGGGACACCUUCCCAUGCCAUUCUGCAAAGACCUUUUAGGAUAUCAUUUGAAGAACAAGAAGCAAACAGACCAGGCCAACCACAAGUCUUGUCAAACAGUUGUCUAUUCUGGCCUUUUGAGAUCCUCAUCAAUAUAUACUCAAGGAUCAAAAAUGCUUUUUAACCUCAACUAGGAUAUCUUUCAAGAGCAUCUCUUCUACACCUGCUGAAUGACUGCUGAACAACUCAGCAAGAUAAGAAAAAGGAAGAAAAAGGACAAGAGAAGAUAUACUGAUCCAGGCUGCCCAGUGAGACUCAAGAACGGUAGAAGUAUAUGCAUGAGCAAAGACCUAAAAAAUAAUAGAAAAAGAGAGGAAUUGAGAGAUGCAACAGGAUUUCUUGCAGCAGUAAAAAAAAAAAAGUGAAAAAAAAC